Molecule: ribosomal RNA, 459 nt
Filed under: Burkholderiales bacterium oral taxon A57
Lineage: Bacteria; Pseudomonadati; Pseudomonadota; Betaproteobacteria; Burkholderiales
Description: bacterial SSU rRNA
Rfam family: Bacterial small subunit ribosomal RNA
Source: RNAcentral
AUUGAACGCUGGCGGCAUGCCUUACACAUGCAAGUCGAACGGUAACAGGUUAAGCUGACGAGUGGCGAACGGGUGAGUAAUAUAUCGGAACGUGCCCAGUCGUGGGGGAUAACUGCUCGAAAGAGCAGCUAAUACCGCAUACGACCUGAGGGUGAAAGCGGGGGAUCGCAAGACCUCGCGCGAUUGGAGCGGCCGAUAUCAGAUUAGGUAGUUGGUGGGGUAAAGGCCCACCAAGCCAACGAUCUGUAGCUGGUCUGAGAGGACGACCAGCCACACUGGGACUGAGACACGGCCCAGACUCCUACGGGAGGCAGCAGUGGGGAAUUUUGGACAAUGGGCGCAAGCCUGAUCCAGCCAUGCCGCGUGCGGGAAGAAGGCCUUCGGGUUGUAAACCGCUUUUGUCAGGGAAGAAAAGGUUCUGGUUAAUACCUGGGACUCAUGACGUACCUGAAAGAUAAG